RNAcentral lists this unclassified non-coding RNA (330 nucleotides) under soil metagenome. RNAcentral describes it as "partial contains 5.8S ribosomal RNA, internal transcribed spacer 2, and large subunit ribosomal RNA". The stretch from base 1 to 121 matches the Rfam family "5.8S ribosomal RNA", at positions 35 to 154 of the family's 154-position model. The record is from RNAcentral.
GAUGAAGAACGCAGCGAAAUGCGAUAAGUAAUGCGAAUUGCAGAAUUUCCGUGAGUCAUCGAAUCUUUGAACGCACAUUGCGCCCCUUGGUAUCCCGAGGGGCAUGCCUGUUCGAGCGUCAUUUCACCACUCAAGCCUGGCUUGGUGUUGGGCGACGUCCCCUUUGGGGACGCGCCUCGAAACGCUCGGCGGCGUGGCACCGGCUUUAAGCGUAGCAGAAUCUUUCGCUUUGGAAGUCGGGGCCCCGUCUGCCGGAAGACCUACUCGCAAGGUUGACCUCGGAUCAGGCAGGGAUACCCGCUGAACUUAAGCAUAUCAAUAAGCGGAGGA